UGUUCAAAAGUGAGUAGUUUAGGAGGGUCCUAUGUUCAAAAGUUUGCUGGUGUGUAUCUUUGUUGGCUCAACAUGUUUUUAAUUUAUGAUUGUUGUUGGUGGAGAGAGCGGAAGAUGCCGGGGACAGUUUGGAGAAGAUCAAGCGGCAGCUGGCCUCUGGGUCUGGUCGGAAUUUGUUGCAGGGUCCCCUUCUAAAGCGAUCUGAAACAGACAAGACUUUUAGGUAAAGCAAAUCCUGGUUUUCCAAUGUCAAAAGGCCUUGGCCGCUUGCAGAAUAGUGACCUUGAAGAAUUAAGAGAAUUGGGGUCCGGCACCUUUGGCACUUUUUACCAUGGAAAAUGGAGGGGACUGAUGUUGCUAUAAAACGAAUCAAUGAUAGGUGUUUUGCUGGGAAGCCUUCUAAACAAGAUCGCAAGGUUGUUCAUUUUAAGCAACUGGCUUUUCUUUUCUUUUGUUAUUCGUGUAUUUUUCUUUUUGUUCCUUGACUCAAGUCCUUUUUGUUGUUUUAUAUUGUACCAGUGAGAAGAUUUUUAGAAUGAAGCAAUUAAGUUUGCUGAUUUGCACCACCCAAACGUGGUACUUUUUAUGGUGUCGUGCUUGAUGGGCUUGGGAGAUCUGUGGCCACAGUAACAGAAUAUAUGGCCAAUGGUUCGCUCAAAAAUGCUUUGUUGAAGAAUGAAAAGUAACAAUUGUUCUCAUUUUUCAUACGUUUAAUUUAAUUUGUUAGAAGUUAGUUGCAGUAUAAUGUAUCUUCACCCUUAGAUUAAGCAUAAAUACAAUUGAUGCAGGAGUCUUGAAAAGUGGAAGCGCCUCUUGAUUGCUAUGGAUGCAGCUUUUAGAAUGGAACACCUGCACAGAAAGAAUAUUGUGCACUUUGAUUUUGAAAGUGAUAAUCUACUGGUCAAUCUUCGAGAUCCUCAUCACUCAAUAUGCAAGGUUUGUGUAUUACUGAUAAUAGCAGAAUCAUCAUUGUAGUGCAUUCCAUUUAGUUAAACUCUUGAUUUGAUUUUUAAACAAAACAGGAUGAUAACCAAUUUUUAUAGUUAUUGUUGUAAUUAACACAAUUAAUUGUCAAAUAAAAAAUGUAUUUGACUAUUAACAUUUUUUUGUUUGACUAAUUAUAGUAUGUUUUAAGAAGAAAAUAAGCUUGGUUUGUCUUAGAUAUACGGGAUAAAGUAAUGUUUUUAACUAACAAAUGCCUUA
This is a long non-coding RNA of Cucumis sativus (cucumber), 1203 nucleotides long. RefSeq lists it as uncharacterized. Lineage: Eukaryota; Viridiplantae; Streptophyta; Magnoliopsida; Cucurbitales; Cucurbitaceae. The record is from RefSeq and is a predicted model, not a curated record. The transcript has 3 exons.